This 305-nucleotide ribosomal RNA is filed under the name uncultured bacterium. Its description in RNAcentral is "bacterial SSU rRNA". It matches the Rfam family "Bacterial small subunit ribosomal RNA", at positions 337 to 659 of the family's 1533-position model. The record is from RNAcentral.
GCCUACGGGGGGCAGCAGUGGGGAAUAUUGCACAAUGGGGGAAACCCUGAUGCAGCAACGCCGCGUGAGUGAAGAAGUAUUUCGGUAUGUAAAGCUCUAUCAGCAGGGAAGAAGAUGACGGUACCUGAGUAAGAAGCCCCGGCUAACUACGUGCCAGCAGCCGCGGUAAUACGUAGGGAGCAAGCGUUGUCCGGAUUUACUGGGUGUAAAGGGUGCGUAGGCGGCCUUGCAAGUCAGAAGUGAAAUCCAUGGGCUUAACCCGUGAACUGCUUUUGAAACUGUAGGGCUUGAGUGAAGUAGAGGCA